Mustela erminea (ermine) is the source of this 1853-nucleotide long non-coding RNA. RefSeq lists it as uncharacterized. NCBI's taxonomy places the organism in Eukaryota, Metazoa, Chordata, Mammalia, Carnivora, Mustelidae. The record is from RefSeq and is a predicted model, not a curated record. The transcript has 3 exons.
GUCCUUUGUCCAGGAACAUUUCUUUAAAGGCCCUCCCCGGGCUCUCCUAACCCCACUGUCAGAGCACCUCUGCAGGUGCACCUGUCCAACCCAGCUUGUCCUGUCUGCAUUUGGGUGAUGAGCGCCUGCAUCUGAUCACUGUGCGAUCCAGCUCCAGCACACUCACUCCUCGUCUAGCUCUAUUCUUUGCUGCCGACACUCACAGCCGUCUGGCCAGCAGCACCAGGCUGGGCCCGCAUGGCCUGCUUGAGGGCCAGGCCAGAACUUCCACAGCUCCAUGGCCACGGCACCAGCCUGCAAGCGAAGGCGAAGCUGGGAGAGAUCCUGCUGACCUCCAGCCCCUGGCUCAUCCCGAAAGCCUCCAUUGCAGGCGCCCCCUCCUCUGAACUCCCAGCCAGCAACUCUCCCAGAAACAGGAUGGCUGACAGCAGAGUUCUACAUCCACAGGCCUCCUGUGCUCCUUGGAACCGCCAGGAGCAGUGGGCUGCCUGCAUCGCAUGGUGUGUUUGAGGAGGCGUGCCCAGAGCGGGCAAGGGACUGACUCCAAGGACGCAGAGGGGGGGCCAGCCCUGAGCGGCUUGUGGUCUACGAUUCCACCACUGAAGAAUCAAUUGCAAUUACUGCUGCUGCCCGCCCCAGCACCCCUAGCACUGCCCCCCCCAGUAUCAGCACCCCCAGCACCCCUGCAACACCAGGACCACUCACACCCUUCCUACUAUUCAACCAAGAGCGGUGGCAAGGUCUGUGCCCCUGUAGGCACCUCAGGUGGGAGAACGCCUCUGACUCAGGUACUCGGGGCUUGGGAUGAAGUAGGUGGUGUGUCUGUCUUUUAGAUCGAGACCCCCAAGGCCCAGAAUACUGAGCGACUUCCUAGGAGGUCAGAGCUGGGAAUGUGACCAGUCUUCUGCCUGGUCACAUUCCCAGUCUUAAACCAGGGCCAGGGAAGAUAAGAAGGGAUUCUCAUUCUCCCCCAGUAGAUGGAGGCCAUCGUGUAUCACGGCUCAGGGAUGCUGGCCUGGGGACCUCUGGGGACCUCUGGGGACAAGGAGGAGGAGUCUGACCUCUGCAAAGCCAAAGCUGGCUUUGGUGCUCACCUCCCUCACCAGGAAGGCCUCCAAGGUCUGCAUUGACCAUACUCGGAUCAAACUCUGAUGGCCCAGCGCACCCAGGACAGGAGUGACAGGACCUGCCCAGCCAGGAAGCCAGCCAAAUCACACCUCACAAGCUGCAUCUAUCCCAAGAGGGAGGCCCCCAUGUCAUGUUUCCCAACACCACUGCUGACGCCAAAUGUGUGGGGUUUCUCCCACACACACCAAUGAACUCUCCAUCUCUCUAGAGGCCAACUGGGUGUCCUCCCAUCUGACUCAAUUCUGUCACUAACGACCUGAGUUAGCACAGAUCCCAUAGUUUAAACACUUAGUCUGACCAAACUGCCCCCCUUUACACAGCAGGUGCAAUCUUAGGCCUCCUUGUACUUUGGACUGACCAUCUAGAGGUGCUGGAAGUUCCCAUGAUCCCCUUCUCAGAUUCAUAAUUUGCCAGAUGGCUCCCAGAACUCAGGGAAACUGAUCAGUAUCAGUAUAUGAUACAGAUUGUUGUACAGGAUACAGAUGAACAGCCAGAGGAUCAAAAAAGAAAUAAAAGAAAGUAAAACAAAAACUUAGUUUUUCAUUGAUCUGAUAACAAUGUGUUCAAAAUAGUAAUAGCAACAACAUAUUUGGUAUGUGUAUGCUUGUGUAUAAAUGAAACGAAUAAUAGCAAUGAUAUAAGGACAGGAAAGAAGUGUGAUUAUUUUUUUAAAAGGUAAUCACAGUAUUUGUGACAGUGCACUUUUAUUUGAAAGUGGACUUGGA